RNAcentral lists this ribosomal RNA (253 nucleotides) under uncultured prokaryote. Its description in RNAcentral is "partial 16S ribosomal RNA". It matches the Rfam family "Bacterial small subunit ribosomal RNA", at positions 524 to 776 of the family's 1533-position model. The record is from RNAcentral.
UACAGAGGGGGCGAGCGUUAUUCGGAAUUAUUGGGCGUAAAGGGCGCGUAGGCGGCUGGGCAAGUCCAAGGUGAAAUCCCUCGGCUCAACCGAGGAACUGCCUUGGAAACUGCCCGGCUUGAGGCCGGGAGAGGGUAGUGGAAUUCCCAGUGUAGCGGUGAAAUGCGUAGAUACUGGGAGGAACACCGGUGGCGAAGGCGGCUACCUGGACCGGUUCUGACGCUGAGGCGCGAAAGCGUGGGGAGCAAACAGG